Molecule: long non-coding RNA, 1591 nt
Organism: Grammomys surdaster
Lineage: Eukaryota; Metazoa; Chordata; Mammalia; Rodentia; Muridae
Exons: 2
Source: RefSeq, a predicted model, not a curated record
GUUUCAGGACAGCCAGGGCUGCAAAGAGAAACCCUGUCUCAAAGAACAAAAACAAAACAAACAAACAAACAAACAACUCUGCAGAGGAAUGGAUACAGAUAUAAAGGUUGCAAAUCUGAAUAAUAUCACACCUCAAUAUACAGCUCAGAAAAUGUGGUAAUUUGACAGGUGAGUUAGACAAAGUCUCAAAACAAAGGUUUGUCUGACCUCCUCUCCUCUCCCUCCAUCUUCUUUCUCCUCACAAAGAGCUUUCUACACAAUUUUCUGUUUGCCUGAAGCCUAGAUCCAUGGAGGAGCACAGCUGCUUUCAAGUCUCUUCUCUGAAAUCUCACUGAUCAAGAAAGGAAAGAUUAAGCCCUUACCAAAAAGAAGGAAACUGAAAAUCAAACACCACAGCUCUUGCUAAGGACGCUUUGACCCAGGCCAUUGAAGUAUUUUCUGGGUUCUUCCUAUCAGUUACUGUUCCUCUAAAACCACAGCCCUGUCCCACUUCCCUGUCUCUUAUGAAGAGGACUGUUGGGUUUCAUUUGGCUCUGUCUUCAAGUUUACACAUCUUAUUGCCAUUACUUGCUUGCUUUCUUGCUUGUUUUUGAAAGCCAAGCUGAGUUCUCAUGUUCUCCCACAUAUAUGUGUACAUUAAUGAAUUGUGAUACACUUCUCUUAUUAACCUGUCUUUUGUUGUAGGGGCAUUGAUCACACUCUGUGAUGGACAUAAGAGGGUGUCUUAGUUACUCUUCUAUUUCUGUGAAGAGACACCAUUACCAAGUCCACCAACUGGGAGCCAAACAUUCAAGUAUAUGAGCCCAUUCUCAUCCAAACCAACACAGAGAGGCCACCCAGUUUUGUACUUCUGAAGUUAAAUGGAAACUUUUUAUCUCUUUAAGAAGAGGGUAAUGGGUUCCAGAGAAAAGAGAGUUGAUAGAAGUCCUACAGAUGAUACUGAGGAGACAAUCUAAAACAAUGUGAACAAAUCAUCCAGUGCAGAAGACAAGCAUGUCACUCCCCAGCAUCCGACCAGCUGAAUAAGGCAAUGACAAUAGUGUUCUUCUUCGAGCGGUUUAUUCAGCAACCCUUGUAUUGUAAGCUUCUUUCGUGCUGCCAGCAGCCACCCACACAACCACCUGCAGCCCCUUAAAGCUUUGCCUCGCUCCUAUCAGUAACUGCCACAAGAACACUGGUAAUUGGUCACUCCGUAUGACGUGAGGCGGGAUGAUCGGGCAACCACACCUCUUAGCGCAAGCUUUCCAUAUAUGGAGUUGUUUUUCUCUCAAGCAGUGCUCAGUCAUCCUGGCUGGCCUUUUGUCAAGCGCCAUCUUGUAAUGGCACCGGUGGAGCCGCUUCUCACACAAGCACCCAGAGAAUCCGGAGCAGGUAUCUGUAAUGUCUCUUAACAUCACAAGGAGGACUGGAGAGAGAAGGAAAGGGAGGAGGAUACAGAAAGAGAUGGUGGUGGAAGUUACCUUAUAUUUAUGGAGUUUUAUUCCAAGAAGCAAGCCGUGAUUUUCCAAAUGAAUGCACUGCAUACGAAUUAUAAUAGAUAAAAUAUUUAUAUAUUCAAAACAUACAUUAAAAAAUCUGUUUCCAUUCAUGA